Molecule: long non-coding RNA, 3193 nt
Filed under: Sus scrofa (pig)
Lineage: Eukaryota; Metazoa; Chordata; Mammalia; Artiodactyla; Suidae
Description: lncRNA (ENSSSCG00040069833.1)
Source: RNAcentral
UUUUUUUUUUGUUUUUGUUUGUUUUUAUUUUAUUUUUUUAUUACUCAAAUGAAUUUAUCACAUCUGUAGUUGUAUAAUGAUCAUAACAAUCCAGUUUCACAGGAUUUCCAUUCCACAACCCAAGCACAUCCCCCCACCCCCCAAACUGUCUCCUCUGGAGACCAUAAGUUUUUCAAUGUCUGUGAGUCAGCAUCUGGUCUGCAAAGAAGUUCCAUCUGUCCUUUUUUCAGAUUCCGCAUGUCAGUGAAAGCAUUUGAUGUUGGUGUCUCAUUGUAUGGCUGACUUCACUUAGCAUGCUAAUUUCUAGGUCCAUCCAUAUUGCUAAAAAUGCUGGUAUUUCAUUCUUUUUAAUGGCUGAGUAAUAUUCCAUUGUGUAUAUGUACCACAUCUCCUUGAUCCACUCCUCUGUGGAUGGACAUUUAGGUUGUUUCCACGUCUUGGCUACUGAACAUAGUGCUGCAAUGAAUAUAGGAAUACAUGUGUCUUUGUGAGUCGUGGUUUCAUGCUGGAGAGGGUGUGGAGAAAAAGGAACCCUAUUACACUGUUGGUGGGAUUGUAAUUUGGUGCAACCACUGUGGAAAACAGUAUGGAGAUUCCUCAGAAAACUAAAAAUAGAACUACCAUUUGAUCCAGCAAUCCCACGCCUGGGCAUCUAUCCCUUUCCUUUUCUAUUCUUUUCUUUUUUUUUUUUUUUAAUGGUGUGGCAUUUAGUAGUCCCUGACUAAGGGUAAAAUUGGAGCUGCAGCAAACACCAGACCCCUAACUGAGGGAGGCCAGGGAUUGAACCCGAAUCCCCACGGACAUUAUGUUGGGUUCUUAACCCAAUGAUCCCCCAUGGGCACUCCCUGUUUUAACUAUAUUUAAUCUGACCAGCUGUUUAAUGGGAGAUGAGAGUAGCCAUCAACGGUGAGCCAGGCAUUCUCAGACGAUGUCAUGCACAUCAGGAGCUAAAGAACUUCUUUGACACAAGCUCCUUUUUCUCUCAUUCACCCUCUUUUAACUCAACAGAGUAAACACGUUCAUGCCUUCACUUACACUUUUCUUCUGCCUUGGAAAUCGGAUAUUCGGCAGUCAUUGUCUCCAUUUCUCCUCCCACCCCCUCCACCCCCGCAUGCUGGGGAAUCCAUCAGCUCAAAACAAAUGGAUUUCUUGAGCCAAUAACUAUUUUCAAAGCCAAGGCAAAAAAGAAACCACUUGAAAGAUAUUCUUAGAGAGGAAAUGUAUAUGUGUAUAUGACUAGGUCAUUGCUGUACAGCCGAAAUUGGCACAACACUGUAAAUCAACUAGACUUUAAAAAGGGUUUUCUAUAUAUGGUAUCAUGUCAUCUGCAUACAGUGACAAUUUUACCUCCUAUCUUCCAGUUUGGAUACUUUUAUUUCUUUUGUUUGUCUUAUUGCUGUGGCUAGGACUUCCAAUUCUAUGUUGAAUAAAAGUGGUGAGAGUGGGCAUUCUUGUCUUGUUAUAGAUUUUAGUGGGAAGGCUUUCAGCUUUUCUCCAUUGAGUAUUGUAUUUUCUGUGGGUUUGUCAUAAAUGGCUUUUAUUAUGUUAGGGUAUGUUCCUUCUAUACCCACUCUGGUAAGAGUUUUUAUCAGGAAUGGAUGUUGGAUUUUGUCAGCUGCUUUUUCUGCAUCUCUUGAGAUGAUCAUGUGAUAUUUUACUUUUCUUUUGUUAAUGUGGUGUAUGAUGUUGAUUGAUUUGCAUAUGUUGAACCAUCCUUAUGAACCUGGGAUGAAUCCCAUUUGGUGGUGGUGUAUGAUUUUUUUAUAUGUUUUUGGAUUCCAGUUGGCUAAAAUUUUGUUGAGAAUUUUUGUGUCUGUAUUCAAAGAUGUUGGCCUACAAUUUUCUUUUUUGGUGGUAUCUUUGUCCAGUUAUGGUAUUAGGGUGAUGGUGGCUUCAUAGCAUGUCUUUGGGAUGUUACUUCUUUUUCAAUCUUUUGGAAAAGUUUAAGAAGGAUGGGUGAAUUCACAAUUUUUAAAGGUCAUACUCCAUUAAUAGUUAUUAUAAAAUACUGGCUCUAUUCCCAAUGUCGUACAAUAUAUCCUUGUAGCUUAUUUUAUGUAUAAUAGUUUAUACCUCUUAAUUCCCCCUCCCCACUGGUAACCACUAAUUUGUUCUCUAUAUCUGUGAGUCUGCUCCUUUUUUGUUUAUUCACUAGUUUGUUGUCUAUUUAAGAUUUCACAUAUAAGUGAUAUCAUACAAUAUUUGUCUUUUUCUGCAUGAUUUAUUUCACUUAUCAUAAUGCCCUCCAAGUCUAUCUGUAUUACUGCAAAUGGCACCAUUUCAUUCUUUUUCAUGCCCAAGUAUUAUUCCAUGGUAUAUAUGUAUCACACCUUCUUUAUCCAUUCAUCUGUGACUGGACACUUAAGUUGUUUCCCUAUCUUGGCAAUUGUAAAUAAUGCUGCUAUGAACAUUGGGGUACCUGUAUCUUUUCAAAUCAGUCACUUUUUAAAAUAUAUGCUAUGGAGAGGAACUGCUGGGUUAUAUGGUAGUUAUAUUUUUAGUUUUUCGAGAACCUUCCAUAUUGUUUUCCACAGUGGCUGCCUCAGUUUACAUUCCUACCUACAGUCUAUGAGGGUUUGGGUGCAUUUCUUGUCUUCACCUAGUGGCAGAGGGUUUUUGCUUUCUACUCAAGAAUCCAAGGUGUGCAUGUGUUCUGUGCCUGUCACCCAACAGCAUCUGUUCUCCACCUAUGUCCAGGAACAUUCUGGAACAUGAGUCAGCUACUCCAGGUCCUCCUUUUUCAUUCUUAAGCUCUGGUAUGUACCAUCAAGCAGGUGUCCCAGGCACCCUGACACCUCUGCAGUUUUUUUCAUGAGAAUCAGAUGGAUGCCUGUGAGAAAGAGAUGAUCAGUGCAUGUAAACUUCCCUGUAUUUGGGUCUCCAAGGAUUUCUUAGGUAUACUCUUAUUCCACAGUUGGCCUUUAAGAAUCACACUUCUGGGAAUUCCCAUUGUGGGGAAGUGGAAAUGAACCUGAUUAGUAUCCCCAAGGACAUGAGUUCAAUCCCUGGCCUUGUUCAGUGGGUUAAGGAUCUGGCACUGCCGUGAGCUGUGGUGUAGGUUGCAGUCGCAGCUUGGAUCCUCAGUUGCUGUGGCUGUGGCCAGCAACUGCAGCUCUGUUUUAACUCCUAGCCUGGAAACUUCCAUAUGCUGUAUCUGCAGCCCUAAAAAAAAAAAAAAAAAAAAAAAAAAAAA